RNAcentral lists this ribosomal RNA (379 nucleotides) under uncultured eukaryote. RNAcentral's name for it is "partial 18S ribosomal RNA". It matches the Rfam family "Eukaryotic small subunit ribosomal RNA", at positions 592 to 975 of the family's 1831-position model. The record is from RNAcentral.
CAAUAGCGUAUAUUAAAGUUGUUGCGGUUAAAACGCUCGUAGUUUGAAAUCUGUUAAGGACGAUCUGUCUGCCCUCUGGGUGUGUAUUUGGUCUAGCCUUGGCAUUUCCUUGAACAAGACAACUGCACUUGAUUGUGUGGUGUUGAUUUCAAGGUGUUUACUUUGAGGAAAUCAGAGUGCUUCCAGCAGGUGUGCGCCUUGAAUACAUUAGCAUGGAAUAUCAUUAUAUGGUUUGGAUUUUUACUUGUUGGUUUUUAAAAUUGAAGCAAUGAUAAAUAGGGAUAAUUGGGGGCACUUGUAUUUAAUUGUCAGAGGUGAAAUUCUUGGAUUUGUGAAAGACAAACUACUGCGAAAGCAUUUGCCAAAAAUGUUUNCAUUG